GCAGGCCUAACACAUGCAAGUCGAACGGUAACAGGAAACAGCUUGCUGUUUCGCUGACGAGUGGCGGACGGGUGAGUAAUGUCUGGGAAACUGCCUGAUGGAGGGGGAUAACUGCUGGAAACGGUAGCUAAUACCGCAUAACGUCGCAAGACCAAAGAGGGGGACCUUCGGGCCUCUUGCCAUCGGAUGUGCCCAGAUGGGAUUAGCUAGUAGGUGGGGUAACGGCUCACCUAGGCGACGAUCCCUAGCUGGUCUGAGAGGAUGACCAGCCACACUGGAACUGAGACACGGUCCAGACUCCUACGGGAGGCAGCAGUGGGGAAUAUUGCACAAUGGGCGCAAGCCUGAUGCAGCCAUGCCGCGUGUAUGAAGAAGGCCUUCGGGUUGUAAAGUACUUUCAGCGGGGAGGAAGGGAGUAAAGUUAAUACCUUUGCUCAUUGACGUUACCCGCAGAAGAAGCACCGGCUAACUCCGUGCCAGCAGCCGCGGUAAUACGGAGGGUGCAAGCGUUAAUCGGAAUUACUGGGCGUAAAGCGCACGCAGGCGGUUUGUUAAGUCAGAUGUGAAAUCCCCGGGCUCAACCUGGGAACUGCAUCUGAUACUGGCAAGCUUGAGUCUCGUAGAGGGGGGUAGAAUUCCAGGUGUAGCGGUGAAAUGCGUAGAGAUCUGGAGGAAUACCGGUGGCGAAGGCGGCCCCCUGGACGAAGACUGACGCUCAGGU
RNAcentral lists this ribosomal RNA (721 nucleotides) under Listeria monocytogenes. Its description in RNAcentral is "bacterial SSU rRNA". It matches the Rfam family "Bacterial small subunit ribosomal RNA", at positions 42 to 752 of the family's 1533-position model. The record is from RNAcentral. Lineage: Bacteria; Bacillati; Bacillota; Bacilli; Caryophanales; Listeriaceae.